This 492-nucleotide ribosomal RNA is filed under the name uncultured bacterium. RNAcentral describes it as "partial 16S ribosomal RNA". It matches the Rfam family "Bacterial small subunit ribosomal RNA", at positions 29 to 507 of the family's 1533-position model. The record is from RNAcentral.
AGUGAACGCUGGCGGUAGGCCUAACACAUGCAAGUCGAACGGCAGCACAGUAAGAGCUUGCUCUUACGGGUGGCGAGUGGCGGACGGGUGAGGAAUACAUCGGAAUCUACUUUUUCGUGGGGGAUAACGUAGGGAAACUUACGCUAAUACCGCAUACGACCUACGGGUGAAAGCAUGGGAUCUUCUGACCUUGCGCGAUUGAAUGAGCCGAUGUCGGAUUAGCUAGUUGGCGGGGUAAAGGCCCACCAAGGCGACGAUCCGUAGCUGGUCUGAGAGGAUGAUCAGCCACACUGGAACUGAGCCACGGUCCAGACUACUACGGGAGGCAGCAGUGGGGAAUAUUGGACAAUGGGCGCAAGCCUGAUCCAGCCAUACCGCGUGGGUGAAGAAGGCGUUCGGGUUGUAAAGCCGGUUUGUUGGGAAAGAAAAGCAGCAGGUUAAUACCCCGCUGUUCUGACGGUACCCAAAGAAUAAGCACCGGCUAACUUCGUG